This 779-nucleotide ribosomal RNA is filed under the name uncultured Neocallimastigales. RNAcentral's name for it is "partial large subunit ribosomal RNA". It matches the Rfam family "Eukaryotic large subunit ribosomal RNA", at positions 22 to 647 of the family's 3401-position model. Lineage: Eukaryota; Fungi; Neocallimastigomycota; Neocallimastigomycetes; Neocallimastigales. The record is from RNAcentral.
CAUAGCGACUAUCGUGGCAUAUCAAUAAGCGGAGGAAAAGAAACUAACUAGGAUUCCCUCAGUAACGGCGAGUGAAGCGGGAAGAGCUCAAAUUUGAAAUCUUCAAGGUUCUACCUUGACGAAUUGUGGUUUAAAGAAGUGUUUUCUGUUGGAGUUUCGGUAAAAGUUCUUUGGAAUAGGACAUCAUAGAGGGUGAGAAUCCCGUAUUUGACCGUUAUUUUCAGCUGUGUGAUACACUUUCAAAGAGUCGGAUUGUUUGGGAAUGCAGUCCAAAAUGGGUGGUAAAUUUCAUCUAAAGCUAAAUAUUGGCGAGAGACCGAUAGCGAACAAGUACCGUGAGGGAAAGAUGAAAAGAACUUUGAAAAGAGAGUUAAACAGUACGUGAAAUUGUCAAAAGGGAAGCGUUUGACACCAGUGUUGUUUUCUCGAAAAUCAAUUAAACGAAUGUUAUGUUUUUAGGAGUUAUGACCUUCAUACGCUUUCUUCACUUUCUUUAUGUACUUUCUUAAUGCACUUUUCGUUAACAAGUCAACAUCAGUUUCUUUUGUUGUAAAAGGGAUAUGAGGAAGGUGGCUUUCUUUUCGGAGAAAGUGUUUAUAGCCUUGUACCUCUGCAAUCGGAGAGAUUGAGGUACAUGCAGCGUAGAUCCUUCUGGAUUAGAUUCAUUUGUGCUAAGUUAUAGCUUUUCAUAGACAACUUGUUGACUGUGUUUAGUCUUGUAGCUUACUCGCUUAUGUAAUUUUACCUACGCUUAGGAUGUUGACGAGACUGUCGAUCUC